RNAcentral lists this unclassified non-coding RNA (328 nucleotides) under soil metagenome. RNAcentral describes it as "partial contains 5.8S ribosomal RNA, internal transcribed spacer 2, and large subunit ribosomal RNA". The stretch from base 1 to 120 matches the Rfam family "5.8S ribosomal RNA", at positions 35 to 154 of the family's 154-position model. The record is from RNAcentral.
GAUGAAGAACGCAGCGAAAUGCGAUAAGUAAUGUGAAUUGCAGAAUUCAGUGAUUCAUCGAAUCUUUGAACGCACAUUGCGCCCCUUGGUAUUCCGAGGGGCAUGCCUGUUCGAGCGUCAUUAUAACCCCUCAAGCUCAGCUUGGUGUUGGGGCCUGCCGCACGGGCAGCCCUUAAAAUCAGUGGCGGUGCUAUCUGGCUCUAAGCGUAGUAAUUCUUCUCGCUAUAGAGUCCCGGUGGAUGCUUGCCAUUAACCCCCAAUUUUCUAUGGUUGACCUCGGAUCAGGUAGGGAUACCCGCUGAACUUAAGCAUAUCAAUAAGCGGAGGA